CAAAAUACCACUGAAAGUGCAUAUUUAUAAACAAGAUACUCCCAAAGACAAUCUCAGAUCAUUCUAAAAGCAAGAGCCAAACUGGUGAGAAACCACCUACUGCUGAAUAUCAAGCCAGUGCCAAAAAGGCAACAGCUACAUGCUGUUCUGUUGUUCCCUGAGUGAUCAAACAAUACUGAGAGCAAACAGGAACUUCAGCAUCAGGAAUCAAAGGACUUCCCUAGCCCUGUAGAGUGGAGAGGAGCAGAGGAGGGAUUUUCUUUAGAAACUGUUCAUUUUCCAUGCUGCUAUCUUACACCACUUUAUAUACAUCAUAAUUAUGAAGAUACACCCCCAAGGGUUUUGUUCUGAAAUUAUUCAACCCCCAACUCCAAAUGCCCUAGCAGUAUCCCAGUGUUCAUAAAGGGUGAUUACAGUAUCAGCAGUACCAGCCACCUGGGAACUUGUUGGAAAACAAAAUCUGGAAAGCCAGUCCCCUAUCCCUAAGCCUAACCUAAAACCCCUAAGGUGGGCAGAUUCAGAAGUCCAAUUAAGCAGCUCUCCAUGUGAUUCUGAAGCUUGGCUGCAGAAAUAAAGUGAAUUGAUGUAAAACAGAGAGGAAAGCAAGAGAGGAUUGAAUAUAGAAGUGCUCCAGGAUCAAAGCUGAUGUAUCAUGGGACAACUUUUAUAACUUAGUCAUUGGUCAUCUUUCUGUCUUUAUUAAUCCACUGUUUCAAUAUGAACACUGUAGCCAGUGAGACUGCUUCAAAUGAAUGUGAAAUAAAGCUGAACCUCAUCUGCUGAAACUUG
Molecule: long non-coding RNA, 789 nt
Filed under: Homo sapiens (human)
Lineage: Eukaryota; Metazoa; Chordata; Mammalia; Primates; Hominidae
Description: HSALNT0322477
Source: RNAcentral